AUUGAACGCUGGCGGCAUGGUUAAAGCAUGCAAGUCGAACGCGAAAGUGGCUUCGGCCGCGAUUAGAGUGGCGAAAGGGCGAGGAAUACGUUUCUAACGUGCCCCAAGGUCGAGGAUAGCUCGGAGAAAUCCGGGGUAAUACUCGAUGAUCCUGACCGAUCGCGUGGUUGGUCAGGCAAAGGUUUACCGCCUUCGGAUCGGGAAACGCCCUAUCAGCUUGUUGGUGAGGUAACGGCUCACCAAGGCUUAGACGGGUAGCGGGUGUGAGAGCAUGGCCCGCCGCAUCGGGACUGAGACACUGCCCGGACUCCUACGGGAGGCUGCAGCGACGAAUCUUCUGCAAUGGGCGAAAGCCUGACGGAGCAAUGCCGCGUGCAGGAUGAAGCCCCUCGGGGUGUAAACUGCUGUCAGGGACUACCAACACAAUGAGGAAUCCCAAAGGAAGGACCGGCUAACUUCGUGCCAGCAGCCGCGGUAAUACGAAGGGUCCAAGCGUUAAUCGGAGUAACUGGGCUUAAAGGGUGCGUAGGCGGAUUGGUAAGUGCUUUGUGAAAUCCCACCGCUCAACGGCGGAAAUGCUUGGCAUACUG
This 590-nucleotide ribosomal RNA is filed under the name uncultured bacterium. RNAcentral describes it as "bacterial SSU rRNA". It matches the Rfam family "Bacterial small subunit ribosomal RNA", at positions 28 to 635 of the family's 1533-position model. The record is from RNAcentral.